CCCCGUCAUUUUUCUGAUUUUUUUUAAUAGAUCGUGCCUAGCCAGUGCAGGACACAGAGAAUGUUUGCAGACUGAAUGAAUGGACAACGAAAUGAAUAACUCCAAGCUGAUGAGCAGCGGCAGAGUCAGCCAGGUCAGCCCAACUUCAAAGCCAGAGUUGUCAUGAAUGCUCCAGAUGGAUUGUGGAAAAGACCAAAGUUCAUGCCUCGGCACCUUUCCCAGUGUACAGGACUUAUUGUUGGGACAGAGCGGUGCCUGGCCCUGAAGUUACACAUUGAUCCAGCUCUAAAGGCUUGAAUGCCUCCAAAGAACAGCAUGGAUUUUUCUCUGUGAAUCGCGAGCAUUUUCCCAGUGCUCAACUUAGCAGCUGGUAAUGAUUAUUGCACCCGUUCCCUUUGAAAUUUCAUGUGCGUUUACUUAACUGAGCAUUGCUAAUCUGGAAGACGGGAAUGAGUGAAGAACCCCAUUUGUAAAGAGGAUAACAUGUUAAUGAAAAAAAGCCAGAGGUAUGUAGAGGUGAUAGUAUUUCUACAGAGCUCUGUUCAGUUGAGAUGAUUUAAGGGCGAGCCUUGGCUGGCUGGUCAUAAUAAGGGCCACAUUAUG
This 603-nucleotide long non-coding RNA is filed under the name Marmota monax (woodchuck). Lineage: Eukaryota; Metazoa; Chordata; Mammalia; Rodentia; Sciuridae. The record is from RNAcentral.